This 479-nucleotide ribosomal RNA is filed under the name uncultured bacterium. RNAcentral describes it as "partial 16S ribosomal RNA". It matches the Rfam family "Bacterial small subunit ribosomal RNA", at positions 28 to 507 of the family's 1533-position model. The record is from RNAcentral.
GAUGAACGCUAGCGGGAGGCCUAACACAUGCAAACCGAGCGGUAUUGUUUCUUCGGUGAUGAGAGAGCGGUGUACGGGUGCGUAACACGUGUGCAACCUGCCCUUAUCUGUGGGAUAGCCUUUCGAAAGGAAGACUAAUACUCCAUAAUAUAUUGAUCUGCAUCGGUUAAUAUUGAAAGCUCCGGCGGAUAGUGCUGGGCCCGCGCGAGAUUAGCUGGUUGGUAAGGUAACGGCUCACCAAGGCGAUGAACCUUAGGGGGCCUGCGGGGGUGAUCCCCCACACCGGUACUGCGACACGGACCAGACUCCUACGGGACGCAGCAGUGAGGAAUAUUGGUCAAUGGGUGCAAGCCUGAACCAGCCAUCCCGCGUGAAGGACGACUGCCCUAGGGGUUGUAAACUUCUUUUGUAUAGGGAUAAACCUACCCUCGUGAGAGUAGCUGAAGGUACUAUACGAAUAAGCACCGGCUAACUCCGUG